AGUUUUCCUAUUCCUGUAUCAUAUGUGUAUCUAGUGCAUUCUCAAACUUUCAGUUUUUCCCUAUGAACAUCUUCAACAAAAUGGACAAAAUCUGUCUUUUUUUUUCCAGCUAUCACGCACCUCAACUAAUUCCGUGAUGUACCUGAUAUCUUGGUCUUAGUGUUAACUCUUAUUACAAUAAUCACCAUUUGCUUUGUUUUAUGCUUAUGGUUUUCCCAUCCGGUGACUCAUCUGCCUUCUCGUCAUCCCAAUCCUCGUCCCAACUCUCAUUCCACCCUUCCGAGGAAAUUUCUAGCUUCAUGGAAGAUUGAGGUUCGGGUUGUCCCAUUUCAAGUUCCUGAUAUGCGAUACCAUCAACAUGUCGAUCCUGCGUUCUCAACUUGCAGCAGAUAACUAUUCCUCCUAUAAGAAGAGCUGUCAUACCAAGCAAGUAUGCCCCAUUAGUUGGGUUCACAUACAUGGUAUAAGAUGGCAUGUUAAAGUAGCCUUGCCAUAAUGAACGUCCUAUGUUAAUCGUACAUUUCCCAGUUCCAGCGUCAAGCAUAAUUGACGAACUCCCUCCAAUUUUGGACGAAAUAUUAAUCUGUUUGAAAUCAUGUUUUGGUAUCUGAAUAUUCUCAUACGUUUUGUUUGCAGAUGAAACAUUGACCUUCAGCGUCAAAGCAUUGUCACCGUUGUUCAGGACGAACAGAAAUGGUUCCUCAUGUCCUUUCCCGGCAGGAAAAAAGCAGGCAGUCAUACCAAUAUGAUCAUCCUGACACUUAUUAGACACACCGAUACAAGUACCACUACCAAAACCCGCCGUUGGCUGACCUACAGGGACUUGAUCAGUACCUAAAUUCCCUUUAACAGCAGCACCAGACCUUGGUGAUGGAGCUACCUGAUUAUCUAAAUGCUGUAAAGGGUGUACAGAGCUUGCAUUAGAUUGCUCCAAAGAAACUGAAAUCAACGUAAUCA
Molecule: unclassified non-coding RNA, 957 nt
Filed under: Hevea brasiliensis (rubber tree)
Lineage: Eukaryota; Viridiplantae; Streptophyta; Magnoliopsida; Malpighiales; Euphorbiaceae
Source: RNAcentral